UUUUUUGGAUUUCUAUUUGAAGCUGGUUCAGCUUUUCAGGCAGAACAGUUAGUUUAAUAGCUGAUUUUGAACUUACUCAUGGGCAAGCAGCUGAUUUUAUUGUUAAUUAAUCUUUACUCUUCUUUCAAUUCAAUUUCUGUUCUAAAUAAAGGGAAAAUUUCUCUGCAUGUUAGAUGCGGAUCAAUAACUUCUUGCUCCUGCUGAUGGGGCUCAAGAAUCUGAAAGGUCAAGUAACCGUUACUUUAUAGCUUAUUCUUUUGGAAAAGUCAAUGAUGCAGGAUGGUUGGGGAUGGAAAUACUUAUCUCACUUGCAACGGACAUGUUUUGUUCCGCUUAAGCUUAAUUUUCUGAAAUCAAAUCCACAAUGAGAGAUUGCGUCUUCAAUCAGAUAUCCAGAAAAUGACAUGGUUGGAUUUUGUAAUUCUCCCCAUCGGUUAAGGAGGUCAAUGAAAUAAACACCCAAAAAGUUUUUCCAGAAAAUUUAAUUGACAAAAUUGACCUUUGACUUUUUCGAUCAUGAGCGACUAACCAACUUGUUUACUGGGCAUUAUGUCUCCAAAAAUUAUGUCUGUGUCAGUAAAUAGAAAAGUCGAUAAAUUCCAUAUCAAAGAAACACACUGUGCCUUUCAAAACCUAUUUGCCAUAAUAAUAUGCACUUUGAUAAACAUGCAACUGCUUCAAUAUAAUAAAUAUAUAAAUUUGGAUCUAAAUUGAGAUAGUUCGAGGCGAACCCAUGAUGUUAUAUUGUAGUACUACAGACUAAAUUAAAAAAUUUGGCUUUUAAAAUGAGUAUGAAAUUUCAUAAAUUAAAAAAAAUGAAAUCAAUUAAUUAGUGAACGCGUGAAAUAAAGCCAAAUUAAUGGAAGCCACACAUGCAAACUAUUUAUCCACCAUGAGGUUGAAAAAAUCAAUGUGCAGGGCAGCAUGUGUAUAUAAUACAACAAUACAAUAGAUAAGAAGAUAAUUGGUCCAUAUCUGUUGCCCAAUUAGAUUUUAUAUAUAUAGCUUAACUAAGAGGUUAGCAAUUGAAUGUUCGGUCAAAUCGGGCCUUGAAUUUUAUAUAUGUUUAGCACCAACGAAAACCUACAAAGAAUAUGAACCGUCAUGGUAUAACAAAAUGCCAACAUAUCAACUCUGAAAAUUUAAUGCACGACGAUUGACGAAGGGGAAAAAAAAAAGGAAAGAGAAGAAAGGAUUGCGUCUUCAAUCAGUUAAGGAGGUCAAUAGAGUCGACUCUGAAAAGUUUUUCCACAAAGAUUAAUGGGCAAAAUUGACGGUUCUGGGCAAAAAAAGGAAAGAGAAGAAAGGAUUGCGUCUUCAAUCAGUCAAGGAGGUCAAUAGAGUCGACUCUGAAAAGUUUUUCCACAAAGAUUAAUGGGCAAUAGAGUCGAUCCUGACUAGCGACAUUGUCUGCUGGGCAUUUAUUUGUUUCUCAAAAGAUAUGUCUGUUAGUAAAUAGAAACAUUAAAGCAACACACUAUGCCUUCCUAUACCCUUUCGUUAUAAUAAUUAAUAUGCACUUUGAUGAAGAUGAUAAAUAUAUAAAUAGUAAAUAUUUAGCAAACUUUGGAUCUAAUUAUAUUGAGAUAUAUUGUCAAAGGCAAACUCAGGAUCUUAAAGUACACCAGACAAAAUUAAAAGUUAAACUGUUAAAAUGGGUAUGAAAUUUCAUAAGUAGAAAAGUGAAAAAAAAAAAUGCACCAGACAAAAUGAGUAAAAUAUUCUUAUGGACUAACUGAAUAAAUAUCUCAAACUUUAAGAACAAAAUUAUCCUUGAUGGAAAGAGCAAAAUAAAUUAAUUUAUCCAUCACAAAGAGUAAGUUAUUAAGUUAAGGUAAAAUACGAGGAAAAAACAUACUCGCAUGACAAAAUAUACUGAAUUAGAGUGUGUGUUUUACUUAUCUUUUAGUUUAUCUCAUAACUUAAUAACUUAAAGAAUCUCUUAUUAGAUAAUGACUCUAAUUUAGAUUUUGUAAAAAAUUAAGUGACUGACAAGUUAUGUACAUAAAACAACAAACAAACUUAUGACAUAAAAUACAUAAACCAUAACAUAUUUAUGCAGUGACAAAAUACACUACAUUAGAGUGUGUAUUUUACUUAUCUUUUAUUUUAUCUCUUAACUUAAUAACUUAAAGUAGAGAUGGUAAAAUCUGGAUCCAGAUCUGCAUUGAAGUUUUGAUAUCUAGAUAAACAAAAAAUAUGCGGAUUCGGAUGCGGGUAAAUUCGCAUGGAUUGCGGACAGAUUUUUCGGAUAUCUAGAUCUGCAUAAUAGUAAAUUCAAAUAUAAUUUUAAAUUCAACAAUUUACCUAAUAAUAUCAAAUAAAAUCCAAUUAUAAUCCAAUAAUCAACAAUUUAAUAUCAAUUCAACAUAAAUAACAUACAACAAUACCAUAAAUCCACAAAUAAAAAUUUCACAAUAUAAAUCAAACAUAGAAAAUUAAAAUUAAAAAAAUCUAAGGCAAACCAAUUCAUUACAAUAUUCUCUUAUUAUUAUUAUUAUUAUUAUUAUUAGUUUCUUAACAUAUUUUUCAAAGUCAAGGAAGAUUAUAGAGUUAAUUAUGCUUAUACAUAUUAAAUAAAAUAAUUUAACUUAUAUAUUUUUUAAUUGAAAUCUAAUUAAAAAUAAUGUGGAUCUGGAUAUCUGAUCUUU
Molecule: long non-coding RNA, 2651 nt
Filed under: Citrus x clementina
Lineage: Eukaryota; Viridiplantae; Streptophyta; Magnoliopsida; Sapindales; Rutaceae
Description: Citrus clementina (C. clementina) long non-coding RNA (CCLE_LNC001041)
Source: RNAcentral